GACAGAGGGUGCGAGCGUUGUUCGGAAUUACUGGGCGUAAAGCGCGCGCAGGCGGAUCCUGCAAGUCGGAAGUGAAAUGUGGCUGCUCAACGGCCACGCUGCUUCCGAUACUGCGGAUCUGGGGACCGGUAGAGGCUGGUGGAAUUGCAGGUGUAGCGGUGGAAUGCGUAGAGAUCUGCAAGAACACCCGUGGCGAAGGCGGCCAGCUGGGCCGGUACUGACGCUGAGGAGCGAAAGCAUGGGGAGCGAACAGG
Molecule: ribosomal RNA, 254 nt
Filed under: uncultured bacterium
Lineage: Bacteria
Description: partial 16S ribosomal RNA
Rfam family: Bacterial small subunit ribosomal RNA
Source: RNAcentral